Long non-coding RNA from Hippoglossus stenolepis (Pacific halibut), 409 nucleotides. RefSeq lists it as uncharacterized. NCBI's taxonomy places the organism in Eukaryota, Metazoa, Chordata, Actinopteri, Pleuronectiformes, Pleuronectidae. The record is from RefSeq and is a predicted model, not a curated record. The transcript has 3 exons.
UCAAGCUCCAUCCAGUCGUCAGACUCUGGAGUAUUGCUGCACAGCUGAGAAUGAGCUGGGAAGGAGUUCAGCAAACAUCUUUAUUACUGUGACAUACGCUCCAAAGCCUCCCUCUGUCAGUGAGUCCACUCCCUCUGGUGAGAUCAUGGAGGGCAGCUCGGUGACUCUGACCUGCAGCAGUGAUGCUAACCCAGCAGCUAAUUACACCUGGUACAAGGAGAACCGAACUCUGCUUCAAGGACCAGAGGGCGUUUAUCGUCUCUCCUCCAUCAGCUCUGGGGACAGGGGGGUCUACUCCUGCAAGUCUGAGAAUCAGUUCGGACGGAUCAACUCCACGUCUCUACACUUAGACGUCCAGUACGCUCCAAAGCCUCCCUCUGUGUCAGUGAGUCCCUCUGGUGAGAUCAUG